Molecule: long non-coding RNA, 1203 nt
Organism: Manihot esculenta (cassava)
Lineage: Eukaryota; Viridiplantae; Streptophyta; Magnoliopsida; Malpighiales; Euphorbiaceae
Exons: 4
Source: RefSeq, a predicted model, not a curated record
UAUAAAAUAUUAAUUAUGAUUAAUAUUAAUCAAACCACAGUUCCAUCUGGGUUGAAUAUCAAAUUCUCAACCUUUCGUCUUCAUCGAUUUCAUGGCUGGAUAGAAUUUCAAAACAUUGAAUUAUACCUUAGUUCAUGUAUUGUCAGAAUUAAGUAAUUUAGUCCCUUAUGAGUUUAUUGUCAGAAUUUCAUGUAUUGUCAGAAUUAUCAUCAUUCUCCAUUGAUUCCUGCCAACACACAAGGCAUUCAAAUUUUGGUCCUAACAAAUGUUCCAGAAUUUGAAGUUCAAUGAAGUACUGUUGCAAUCUGAAAUGCUAGCUAAUCUAGCUAGCAGCAGGCAGCUGUCCGCCAAAUGUUCCAGAAUCACAUCCUGCAUUUUCAAGAGCAGCUGAGAAUCAGCCAUAAAGACAAUGAGACCAUGUACCUUGAAUGAGAGACUGUGACUACGUUUAGGAGCUCCAUCAAUUUCCUCAUAUUCAGCAGCAUCCAACUCAUGAAGGCAUUGAGAAAACUUAUAACUCUCCUGUAUCGCCGGCUAGGAAUAAUGAAAAGCAGCAUCAGCCUUUCCCAUAACCAGCUCACAGGAAGACUAUCAAUGGCCAUAUAAGCAAAAUAUCCCCAGAGUACUGAUAUCUUAACUUCCAAGAGGAGGGGUUGCUGUCCGGAGAUAUGCCAGUAUGGGUGAGCUUGAUCCUUCCUUUUCAGUACUAGAAGGAGAGGUCUUCAGAAACAAGUGAUGCCACUGACGCCAGCAUUCAGGCCCCUCUCCGGCUGAACGAGACUCAGAUUCUAAGGCCCCAUUUCUUUCUCUUUCCUUUUGACUGUUGAUGAGUUAGCCUUCCCGUAUAUUGGUGGAAAGAUUAGUGCUUGAUUUUGCUUCUUCCCGCCGGAGUGCUUGGUUUGGUUAAACCUGAUGGGAUUCCAAUGAUGAGAAAUAUUGGAGCUUUUAACCUUCAUCCGGGUGGCGUCAAUAGGAGGCUAUUCGGGUGUCUAGCCCACAACAUUUAGAUGUUCGGAAAGGAAGAAAAUGGAGAGUUGGAGAAAAAGUGCAGGAAAAGCUGAAAAAGUAAUUGGGUCAAAGUAAUUUGGCCAAAUCACCCGCAGAGAUCAGAAGCAGAAAGCUAAGGCAGAAAUCUGGAGGCAACAUACAGAAACGAUUUGGGCAAGCGAUUUGCCCAAAUCACCCGCCCAAAUCACACUGAUG